This 766-nucleotide ribosomal RNA is filed under the name Hemisphaerius testaceus. Its description in RNAcentral is "SSU rRNA". It matches the Rfam family "Eukaryotic small subunit ribosomal RNA", at positions 1032 to 1802 of the family's 1831-position model. RNAcentral also lists the same sequence under 3 other names. The record is from RNAcentral. Lineage: Eukaryota; Metazoa; Arthropoda; Insecta; Hemiptera; Issidae.
AUAAACUAUGCCUGCCAGCGAUCCGCCGAAGUUCCUCCGAUGACUCGGCGGGCAGCUUCCGGGAAACCAGAGCUUUUGGGUUCCGGGGGAAGUAUGGUUGCAAAGCUGAAACUUAAAGGAAUUGACGGAAGGGCACCACCAGGAGUGGAGCCUGCGGCUUAAUUUGACUCAACACGGGAAAACUCACCAGGCCCGGACACCGGAAGGAUUGACAGAUUGAGAGCUCUUUCUUGAUUCGGUGGGUGGUGGUGCAUGGCCGUUCUUAGUUGGUGGAGCGAUUUGUCUGGUUAAUUCCGAUAACGAACGAGACUCUAGCCUACUAACUAGGCGUACCCGGUAUCCACAAUCGUGCUACCGGCGAUCAUAUUUCUUCUUAGAGGGACAGGCGGCUUCUAGCCGCACGAGACUGAGCAAUAACAGGUCUGUGAUGCCCUUAGAUGUCCUGGGCCGCACGCGCGCUACACUGAAGGAAUCAGCGUGUCUUCCCUGUCCGAAAGGACCGGGUAACCCGCUGAACCUCCUUUGUGCUAGGGAUUGGGGCUUGCAAUUGUUCCCCAUGAACGAGGAAUUCCCAGUAAGCGCGAGUCAUAAGCUCGCGUUGAUUACGUCCCUGCCCUUUGUACACACCGCCCGUCGCUACUACCGAUUGAAUGAUUUAGUGAGGUCUUCGGACUGGUGCGCGGAGGCCGCUUACGUGGUCUCCGAUGUUGCCGGAAAGAUGACCAAACUUGAUCAUUUAGAGGAAGUAAAAGUCGUAACAAGGUUU